This 230-nucleotide ribosomal RNA is filed under the name uncultured bacterium. RNAcentral's name for it is "partial 16S ribosomal RNA". It matches the Rfam family "Bacterial small subunit ribosomal RNA", at positions 355 to 575 of the family's 1533-position model. The record is from RNAcentral.
UAGGGAAUCUUCGGCAAUGGGGGCAACCCUGACCGAGCAACGCCGCGUGAGUGAAGAAGGUUUUCGGAUCGUAAAGCUCUGUUGUAAGUCAAGAACGGGUGUGAGAGUGGAAAGUUCACACUGUGACGGUAGCUUACCAGAAAGGGACGGCUAACUACGUGCCAGCAGCCGCGGUAAUACGUAGGUCCCCGAGCGUUGUCCGGAUUUAUUGGGCGUAAAGCGAGCGCAGG